Molecule: ribosomal RNA, 124 nt
Filed under: Pteropus alecto (black flying fox)
Lineage: Eukaryota; Metazoa; Chordata; Mammalia; Chiroptera; Pteropodidae
Source: RNAcentral
GUCAACAGAGUCUAUGGCCUGAACAAGCCCGAUCCCGUCUGAUCUCGGAAGCUAAGCAGGGGCGGGCCUGGUUAGUUUAGUACUUAGAUGGGAGACCACCUAGGAAGACCAGGUGCUCUAGGCC